UGUGUUAGUAAUUAAUAUAUAAUAAUUGUGUUGCAAACAAAAAUAAUUGAACAAACAAUCUAACCCAU
RNAcentral lists this transfer RNA (68 nucleotides) under Cryptocellus narino. RNAcentral's name for it is "tRNA-Ala". Lineage: Eukaryota; Metazoa; Arthropoda; Arachnida; Ricinulei; Ricinoididae. The record is from RNAcentral.